UCAAGGACAAUCCUUAAAUCCUAUCAAAUUUUUCUAACUUCCGUUACUUGUGCAAGGGCAAUUCAUUCCACGAAUUAUUAAAAAAUUCAUUAUUUUUAAAAAUAAACAGUACAAAACUAAAUUUUAAAAACAAAUUAGUUUUAAAAUAGAAAUAAAACCUCUCUGUCCCUUUCUCCUCCUAACCCCAACACCUACCAACAAUCCCCACCCAACCUUAGCCACCACCUCCCAGUAACCCAACCACCACCCUAGCAACCCAAGCUUGCUAGAACCUUAAACAAUCAAAUCACCACCUUGCUUCAAGCGAUGAACUCCAUUUUGAUAAUUCCUUAGACCAUCUCCAAUCUUUUACCUCCACAUUUUCCCUUAGAAAUCUAACUUCAAUGAUUUUGGGAUCCUCGAACUUGAUCGGAUGAAAAGUUCAUGGAAUUCUCAAAUAUGGGAAAGGCUUAAGAAUGGGUGGGACACAAUUUCAUCGUCAUUUUCCGUGAUUCGGAAGGAUUGAAGUAGCUUUAAGGGCCGUUGUAAGGAUGGGUUAUAUCCAUUGUCCUUGUUUUCGCCCUCCGCUUCUAUUACUCCUCAUGAGUUCACCACAUCUCAUCUUCAACUUGCCACAACCAUCUAGGUCACCCAUCUUCUUUAGUUCUCUCUCGUUUAAUCUUUCAUUUUGGGUCAUAUUUUUCAUUUCAAUAAGGAUUUUGUACGGGUUGUGCCCUUAGUAUAUCAACCCAAUUACCCUAUUCUAUUUAACGAAUCUCGAUGUUUGGAUGUCUUCCAUUUCUUGUGUGAGUGGCUUCUGUUACUGUCUUAUUUAUUGAUGAUUUUUCUAGAUAUUUAUGGAUCUAUGCAACAUAAAUUCAUCCA
Prunus persica (peach) is the source of this 864-nucleotide long non-coding RNA. RefSeq lists it as uncharacterized. Lineage: Eukaryota; Viridiplantae; Streptophyta; Magnoliopsida; Rosales; Rosaceae. The record is from RefSeq and is a predicted model, not a curated record. The transcript has 2 exons.